RNAcentral lists this ribosomal RNA (250 nucleotides) under uncultured bacterium. Its description in RNAcentral is "partial 16S ribosomal RNA". It matches the Rfam family "Bacterial small subunit ribosomal RNA", at positions 524 to 773 of the family's 1533-position model. The record is from RNAcentral.
UACGAAGGGUGCAAGCGUUACUCGGAAUUACUGGGCGUAAAGCGUGCGUAGGUGGUUUGUUAAGUCUGAUGUGAAAGCCCUGGGCUCAACCUGGGAAUGGCAUUGGAUACUGGCAGUCUAGAGUGCGGUAGAGGGUAGCGGAAUUCCCGGUGUAGCAGUGAAAUGCGUAGAUAUCGGGAGGAACAUCCGUGGCGAAGGCGGCUACCUGGACCAGCACUGACACUGAGGCACGAAAGCGUGGGGAGCAAAC